AUGCGCAUAACCUUAUCGGAUGGUGCGUAUCAAGUGAUUAAAUCGCCAUCGGGCGGCAAAAUGGAUGGUUCUACACAUCUUUAUCUUGGAAAAUCAAGCAAUGGGGUGUAUUGUGCUUUGAUUUAUCAUAAUGUUCAACACCAGCUUCAGGUUUGGUUUCUAGAUGAAUCUUGUGGUAGAAUGGAGUGGGAGUUGAAGAAUGAUAUCAAAUUUGCGCCGGUGAUGGCAAAAAUUUCUUUGGUCAAGUAUAAGGAUGGAUUUCCCAACAAAAAAAAGCACAAGGAUCAAAACCUAAGACCUUGGAUCUUUCUGAGAGGUAAUUGUCUUGAUGAAGAUGUUAAGGAAGGACUAAUGGAAGAUAGCGCUGAAUGGGACUACAGCAAGGGUUUUAUCCUUGAGACUCGAGAUCUUAAGGUUAAUUGUGACCACAUGCAUUUUGAAGAUGUCUAUUUCCUUGGAUUUCAUCCAUAUAAAGAGAUUGUCUUCUUGUGGAUGUCACGAGACACAUCAGUUGCUUAUGAUUUUAGUAGCUCUAAAGUACAGUACUUGGGCAAGUUACCCGCGCAUUGGAUGGGAAAGUCAUUUCCAUACACACCAUGUUGGAUAGGAGAGUUAUCUGAAAAAUAA
This 627-nucleotide ribosomal RNA is filed under the name Triticum aestivum (bread wheat). RNAcentral describes it as "partial small subunit ribosomal RNA". Lineage: Eukaryota; Viridiplantae; Streptophyta; Magnoliopsida; Poales; Poaceae. The record is from RNAcentral.